GUGCUCGCUUUGGCAGCACAUAUUACUAAAACUGGAAUGAUACAGAGAUUAGCAUGGCCCCUAUGCAAGGAUGACAUGCAAAUUUGUGAAGCGUUCCAUAUUAAA
Small nuclear RNA from Ailuropoda melanoleuca (giant panda), 105 nucleotides. Lineage: Eukaryota; Metazoa; Chordata; Mammalia; Carnivora; Ursidae. The record is from Ensembl.